AAAUGACUGAGGAAGAAGAGAAAACUAAGUCAGUGCAGAUCCAUAACUGGGCGGAGUUAACUCAGUUAUGCCUAGUGAAUAUACUCUCUCGUCUCUCCAUUGAAGAUCGAUGGCGAGGUGCCAUGUUUGUCUGCAAAUCCUGGUUACAAGCUUGUAAGGAUCCUAAUUUAAACUCGGUAAUCGAUCUCGAAGCUCAGUUCAUCGAAUCGGUCACUGAAUCGUCGCCGUUGUCGUCGACUCGUUACUGGAA
RNAcentral lists this unclassified non-coding RNA (250 nucleotides) under Hevea brasiliensis (rubber tree). The record is from RNAcentral. Lineage: Eukaryota; Viridiplantae; Streptophyta; Magnoliopsida; Malpighiales; Euphorbiaceae.